RNAcentral lists this ribosomal RNA (468 nucleotides) under uncultured bacterium. RNAcentral's name for it is "partial 16S ribosomal RNA". It matches the Rfam family "Bacterial small subunit ribosomal RNA", at positions 28 to 507 of the family's 1533-position model. The record is from RNAcentral.
GAUGAACGCUGACAGAAUGCUUAACACAUGCAAGUCAACUUGAAUUUGGGUUUUUUAACUUCGAUUUGGGUGGCGGACGGGUGAGUAACGCGUAAAGAACUUGCCUCACAGCUCGGGACAACAUUUGGAAACGAAUGCUAAUACCUGAUAUUAUGAUUAUAAGGCAUCUUAGCAUUAUGAAAGCUAUAUGCGCUGUGAGAGAGCUUUGCGUCCCAUUAGCUAGUUGGAGAGGUAACGGCUCACCAAGGCGAUGAUGGGUAGCCGGCCUGAGAGGGUGAACGGCCACAAGGGGACUGAGACACGGCCCUUACUCCUACGGGAGGCAGCAGUGGGGAAUAUUGGACAAUGGACCAAGAGUCUGAUCCAGCAAUUCUGUGUGCACGAUGACGUUUUUCGGAAUGUAAAGUGCUUUCAGUUGGGAAGAAAAAAAUGACGGUACCAACAGAAGAAGUGACGGCUAAAUACGUG